Molecule: ribosomal RNA, 341 nt
Filed under: Acaphylla theae
Lineage: Eukaryota; Metazoa; Arthropoda; Arachnida; Trombidiformes; Eriophyidae
Description: partial 16S ribosomal RNA
Source: RNAcentral
CUUAAUUUAAAAGACGAACAGUCUACUCUUAUAUUUCUUUUGCGAAUUUUAGACAAAAGAAUCCAACAUCGAGGUCGUAAUCUUAAAAAUUAAUUUGAACUUUUUAAUUAAAUUACCCUGUUAUCCCUAAAGUAGCUUAUUUUUAAGUUAUUUAUUUAAAUUUAACAAAAUAAUAAUGAAUUUUUACCCCAAAAAACUCAAAUAGAGAAAGCUUUUAGGGUCUUCUCGUCUUACAAAAAUGAACUUUAUUUAUUAGUUCUUUAAUUUUUAAAAUUUAACUAAGAAAACAAUUGAAAGUUUAUUCUUUCAUACUUGAAUGCAAUUAACAAUCUAAUGAUUGC